UACGAAGGGAGCUAGCGUUGUUCGGGCUUACUGGGCGUAAAGCGCACGUCGGCGGGCUCUUAAGUCAGGGGUGAAAUCCCGAGGCUCAACCUCGGAACUGCCUUUGAUACUGAGAGCCACGAGGUCGGGAGAGGUGAGUGGAAUUCCUAGUGUAGAGGUGAAAUUCGUAGAUAUUAGGAAGAACACCAGUGGCGAAGGCGGCUCACUGGCCCGAAUCUGACGCUGAGGUGCGAAAGCGUGGGGAGCAAACAGG
This 253-nucleotide ribosomal RNA is filed under the name uncultured bacterium. RNAcentral's name for it is "partial 16S ribosomal RNA". It matches the Rfam family "Bacterial small subunit ribosomal RNA", at positions 524 to 776 of the family's 1533-position model. The record is from RNAcentral.